AUGGGCGUUGCUUGGUACAGUAUAAAUAUGUAAAGACAGAAAGUAAAAAGAAAGGUUACCUCCUUGUUCAGGUUUGGAUACAACUUUGGAUGUUUGAUCAUCCCUGUGCAGAAUGAGAGAGCAAUAAGUUAUGGGUACGACUGGCUGAGGAGACCCUGAGACAUCCUCAGUCACCCUGCCGGAGGAGAUGGAGGAAGCUGUUGAAGUAAAAGGACUUUUGGGAUGUUUACGGUUCAGAACUAGUGUUUUUGGUGAUGAGUUGGAGAAUCCUGAUCAUAAUCUUACAUUCCUGUGCCUCUGUGGCAUCUUUUAUGAAAGUGACCACCGAUCUAAACAACGGUCUCAUGGAAAUAAUGGUGGACAUUGGCAACAUAUCCGACAAGUCCGAACCCAAAUGUGAUUGCAUUUUCCAUUCCGAUACCAACAAGGUUCUUCUGAGCACACGUUUCAGUGACCAAGAAGAUCAGCAGUUUGAGGGGCGAGUUACUUAUAACAUAAGCGAAGACAUAAUGAAGAUUAUGCUGUCAGAUUUCCGUAAUGAUGAUGUGGGAAACUACACAUGCAAAUAUUUUGAUAAAAGAGAUGAAAUCCUAGACUCUGGAUGUUUUACCUUGGAGUGGCCCCUCCCCACACCAACAUCUGGACCUGCAGCUGCUGAAGGUACAACACAGCCACCAGUGGGCCCAAAUGGAUAUCUAACAUCUAUAGCAGUAGUAGUUGCAAUAGCGUUAGGGGUAGUAGGAGUACCAGUUGUUGUAGUAGUAGUAGUAGUAGUAGUAAACAAAACAAAUCAACAAUGAAAAAAGAUCAAGUCCAGACUGAUGGUACUGAGCUGUACCAAUCUAGACUCGUCUGCUCCACAACUCAGUACACGGACUGAUGCUGCUCAAAGAAGAAUCUCACCUCUCUUCUCAUCGCAUUCCCACUGCAGUGUUGGCUUUGAAGUGGCUGGCAGCUGGACCUCUGUUUUCAGAAAACCAGUUUUGAGUAACCCAAUGUACACUGCCUACAUAACACAUGACAGACCAUUAUAGUCAGUGGCUAGCUGCUGAAGAAAGUCAAGAAUCUAAUGAGACGCACUCAUGCCAUCCUAGAUGUAAGUACACCCUCUCAAUUUAGCAGAUUGCAACUCACUCGCUUCACCCUCCCUUUAAAAAGGGUGAGGGAGAAACUACGGUGGCCGUGAGAAACCUCAAUAUAAAGCCAGCGUUUGUGUCUGUUUUCUGUGCCGUCUGUAGUUAAAAAAUUUUGCAUUCUAAGGAAAUGACAACACAACAAUUCCUGUAUUCAGGUGAUUAUACUCUAACGAAAACAUACCUAUGAAUAUUAUAUCGCAUUUGUGCCAUUAGAUCCUCCUAAAUGUUACACACUGGACUUUUUAGCAAUGUUUGCAUUUUUCAAUGAAGUUUUAAUGGGAAGCUUGUGAUGCUCCCCAAUGUAACUCUGUAUGUCAGUAUACGUUCUAAUGUGAAAACAGAAUAUUUGCUUUUUUUAUAUUAAUAGUCAAUAAUGUGUGUGUAACAUUUUUAAAUGUUACUGUGGCUUUGUUGACCAGUACUUGAAUGUGUGGGAUCACCUCACUGGUAUGAAGUUUUUACAUUUGUAUUCAGUUUGUUAAUACUGUUAAUACCUCAGAUAUUAUUGGCUGAUGGAAUAUUUCCUGCAGUUAAAGAACAAAUUACAACGGUUAACAGAUUGUUUGUUCAGACAUGCAAUCUAGAAGGAACAUAAAGUGAACUCCCACUUUUGCAAUAAAUAAAAUGUGUAUAUUUUUACAAUCUCGAAUAAUUGUCACUUGUCAUUAAUGUCGUUUGAAUUGAUGUAUUGAUUGAUUUUUAAAGCUUUCUAUUGUUGUUUAUCCGGUUCAUUAAAUAUAUUUAUAAAAA
Molecule: long non-coding RNA, 1886 nt
Organism: Dicentrarchus labrax (European seabass)
Lineage: Eukaryota; Metazoa; Chordata; Actinopteri; Moronidae
Exons: 8
Source: RefSeq, a predicted model, not a curated record